RNAcentral lists this long non-coding RNA (374 nucleotides) under Pongo abelii (Sumatran orangutan). RNAcentral's name for it is "lincRNA". Lineage: Eukaryota; Metazoa; Chordata; Mammalia; Primates; Hominidae. The record is from RNAcentral.
CUAAGACUCAGCAGAUAAGGAUGGAGGCAACUCAACAUCACACUGAGACAGAUAUGAGCCCUGCAUUUCUGAAUGCCUUGAAAGAAAGACCAGAAAGUUGGGAGGGCUGUGUCUCCUUAUCGUCUUCCAGGAAUCCAAAACCAUGAUUUCCAGUUUCCAAAUGCAACUCAAGCUCCACCACCCUGUACAUCUUGCACGGUUUCUCCAGCAUAUCCUGAUCACCCCCUCCAGACCCUUCUGAUAGAUUCAUUACCUGAAUCUGUUUAAUCCUGAGCUCCUGCUCUCCCUUGGCUCAGCCUCAUCACAGCCAGAAAGGAUGAGAGCUCUUUAACGAAGUGCAUACAUGUCAGUUUCCCAGGACACAAACCAAAGUA